This 484-nucleotide ribosomal RNA is filed under the name uncultured bacterium. Its description in RNAcentral is "partial 16S ribosomal RNA". It matches the Rfam family "Bacterial small subunit ribosomal RNA", at positions 29 to 507 of the family's 1533-position model. The record is from RNAcentral.
AGUGAACGCUGGCGGCAGGCCUAACACAUGCAAGUCGAGCGGCAGCGCGGGGGCAACCCUGGCGGCGAGCGGCGGACGGGUGAGGAAUUCGUCGGAAUCUGCCUUUUUGUGGGGGAUAACGUAGGGAAACUUACGCUAAUACCGCAUACGUCCUACGGGAGAAAGUGGGGGACCGCAAGGCCUCACGCAGAAAGAUGAGCCGACGACCGAUUAGCUAGUUGGUGGGGUAAAGGCCCACCAAGGCGACGAUCGGUAGCUGGUCUGAGAGGAUGAUCAGCCACACUGGGACUGAGACACGGCCCAGACUCCUACGGGAGGCAGCAGUGGGGAAUAUUGCACAAUGGGCGCAAGCCUGAUCCAGCCAUGCCGCGUGUGUGAAGAAGGCCUUCGGGUUGUAAAGCACUUUUGUCCGGAAAGAAAUCCCUGGUGCUAAUACCUUCGGGGGAUGACGGUACCGGAAGAAUAAGCACCGGCUAACUUCGUG